Molecule: unclassified non-coding RNA, 377 nt
Filed under: uncultured fungus
Lineage: Eukaryota; Fungi
Description: partial contains 5.8S ribosomal RNA and internal transcribed spacer 2
Rfam family: 5.8S ribosomal RNA (bases 1-133)
Source: RNAcentral
UGGCUCUCGCAUCGAUGAAGAACGCAGCGAAAUGCGAUAAGUAAUGUGAAUUGCAGAAUUCAGUGAAUCAUCGAAUCUUUGAACGCACCUUGCACCCUUUGGUAUUCCGAAGGGUACACCCGUUUGAGUGUCAUUGUACUCUCACUACCAAUGACUUUUUGGUCUUUUGGUAUGUGGACCUGGAUGUUGCCGUGAUAUCCACGGCUCGUCUGAAAUGCCUGAGUGUACCCCGCUUUGCGGCGUAUUCGGUGUGAUACAUCUUCACCGGAGUUGAUCCUUUUGGGUCGCGUCUGUAGUGUGUGGCUCUAUGCUUCAAACCGUCUCUUGUGGACAAGCUUUGACAAUUUGACCUCAAAUCGGGUGGGACUACCCGCUGA